This 532-nucleotide ribosomal RNA is filed under the name uncultured bacterium. RNAcentral describes it as "bacterial SSU rRNA". It matches the Rfam family "Bacterial small subunit ribosomal RNA", at positions 971 to 1502 of the family's 1533-position model. The record is from RNAcentral.
UUACCUACUCUUGACAUCUACCAGAAGCCAGCGGAGACGCAGGUGUGCCUUCGGGAACUGUAAGACAGGUGCUGCAUGGCUGUCGUCAGCUCGUGUUGUGAAAUGUUGGGUUAAGUCCCGCAACGAGCGCAACCCUUAUCCUUGUUUGCCAGCACUUCGGGUGGGAACUCCAGGGAGACUGCCGGUGAUAAACCGGAGGAAGGUGGGGACGACGUCAAGUCAUCAUGGCCCUUACGAGUAGGGCUACACACGUGCUACAAUGGCGCAUACAGAGGGCGGCCAACUUGCGAAAGUGAGCGAAUCCCAAAAAGUGCGUCGUAGUCCGGAUUGGAGUCUGCAACUCGACUCCAUGAAGUCGGAAUCGCUAGUAAUCGUGGAUCAGAAUGCCACGGUGAAUACGUUCCCGGGCCUUGUACACACCGCCCGUCACACCAUGGGAGUGGGCUGCAAAAGAAGUGGGUAGUUUAACCUUCGGGAGGACGCUCACCACUUUGUGGUUCAUGACUGGGGUGAAGUCGUAACAAGGUAACCG